ACCUUUAUGGUGCAGUGGUGACAGCACGCUUGACGCGUAUUCGAGAGGUCCGUGGUUCGAAUCUCGGCAAGGGUA
This 75-nucleotide transfer RNA is filed under the name Stegodyphus mimosarum. It matches the Rfam family "tRNA". Rfam says of the family: Transfer RNA (tRNA) molecules are approximately 80 nucleotides in length. Their secondary structure includes four short double-helical elements and three loops (D, anti-codon, and T loops). Lineage: Eukaryota; Metazoa; Arthropoda; Arachnida; Araneae; Eresidae. The record is from Rfam by way of RNAcentral.